Molecule: ribosomal RNA, 753 nt
Filed under: Acinetobacter sp. ISTD2
Lineage: Bacteria; Pseudomonadati; Pseudomonadota; Gammaproteobacteria; Moraxellales; Moraxellaceae
Description: bacterial SSU rRNA
Rfam family: Bacterial small subunit ribosomal RNA
Source: RNAcentral
GCAGUCGAGCGGGGAAGAGUAGCUUGCUACUUUACCUAGCGGCGGACGGGUGAGUAAUGCUUAGGAAUCUGCCUAUUAGUGGGGGACAACAUCUCGAAAGGGAUGCUAAUACCGCAUACGUCCUACGGGAGAAAGCAGGGGACCUUCGGGCCUUGCGCUAAUAGAUGAGCCUAAGUCGGAUUAGCUAGUUGGUGGGGUAAAGGCCUACCAAGGCGACGAUCUGUAGCGGGUCUGAGAGGAUGAUCCGCCACACUGGGACUGAGACACGGCCCAGACUCCUACGGGAGGCAGCAGUGGGGAAUAUUGGACAAUGGGGGGAACCCUGAUCCAGCCAUGCCGCGUGUGUGAAGAAGGCCUUUUGGUUGUAAAGCACUUUAAGCGAGGAGGAGGCUACCGAGAUUAAUACUCUUGGAUAGUGGACGUUACUCGCAGAAUAAGCACCGGCUAACUCUGUGCCAGCAGCCGCGGUAAUACAGAGGGUGCAAGCGUUAAUCGGAUUUACUGGGCGUAAAGCGCGCGUAGGUGGCCAAUUAAGUCAAAUGUGAAAUCCCCGAGCUUAACUUGGGAAUUGCAUUCGAUACUGGUUGGCUAGAGUAUGGGAGAGGAUGGUAGAAUUCCUGUGUAGCGGCUGAAAUGCGUAGAGAUCUGGAGGAAUACCGAUGGCGAAGCAGCCAUCUGGCCUAAUACUGACACUGAUGUGCGAAAGCAUGGGGGAGCAAACAGGAUUAGAUACCCUGGUAGUCCAUGCCCGUA